AACAAAAUACCAAAUUACAUUAAAAAUUACCAGCACCUACGCCCCAUGUAAUGGACGAAACCUACAGUAUCACACUUGUACUGUAUCAUUAAAUAAUAAAUCAAUCAUUUUUUUUAAUAUAUAAUAAAAAUAUUUUUUUAUUAAUCAUAAUGGAACGUGUGAAUUUAAAAAGUACAAUUCUAUUGGUUGAGAACGCCACGUCAAUAAUAUAAGUAGUGCAUUUUAAAUUUUUUCCACAUAAUAAAAAAGUAAAAAUUUAUGUAGACUGUACCCACCGCCUGAAAUAGUGCAUUGAAAGGCCGAUUUCAAAAUAAACUACAGUUGAGAUAUUUAAACUCUAAAAAGGAGUGUAGAUCUUACAUCCGUCAAUUUAGGAUUCAUAAAAAUCUAAAAAUAGGUUUUCGUGAAAUACAAAAAAAUUGAUAUGAUAAAUAAAGAAUUAAUAACUGUUAAAUAGAAUGGGUGAAAAAUAUUAUGCCUUGUUUUG
Molecule: long non-coding RNA, 487 nt
Filed under: Ananas comosus (pineapple)
Lineage: Eukaryota; Viridiplantae; Streptophyta; Magnoliopsida; Poales; Bromeliaceae
Description: long non-coding RNA (ACOM_LNC033303)
Source: RNAcentral